Molecule: long non-coding RNA, 5271 nt
Organism: Vidua macroura (Pin-tailed whydah)
Lineage: Eukaryota; Metazoa; Chordata; Aves; Passeriformes; Viduidae
Exons: 2
Source: RefSeq, a predicted model, not a curated record
GUUCCUUGCCUGUGUGGCUACCAGUGCUCACACCAGGGCUGGCCAUGCCCCCUCUGCAGAGUUUCAGCUCUGAUCCUGGACCAAAGCAAGUGCCACUCCUGGCUUGGAGGGUUUCACAGCCCUGAGAUUUCGCUGCUUAUGACUUGAAGCAACCAGCAUCACCUCAGGCUAUAGGGAGAAAAAUUUCAUUGAACCACAUUGCCUCUCUGCUAGACAAACUGCAGAAAGAUAACUCGCUCCCAGAAUGUCAGAGUUUUCUGGCCACCUUCCAAACAAUCGCUGCAUUUCAUGCUUGAAUGCCUAUCAGUGAAUUUCCAGUACAAAAUGUGAACAGAGACAACUAGAAAUCAACGUCUGGUGUUUCCUUUGCACCUCCCUGGAAGGGAGGGCUGUUGGCAUCAUAUAUUCAAUCCCUCAGCACCAGCAGGCACAGGUCAGUGACAAGACAGGUGAAAGAACAAGACCUGAGAUCAGUAGAUGCCCGGUACAGCCACUGAAGCUGCCUGCUUCCAGGAGCUGAGGCUGCUGCUCUUAGGGAAACAAAACUCCUGCCUGGUAGUAAACAUCUUCAGUUACCACACAGAAAAAUACAAAAAGCCAAACAACAAUCACCUAGCCAAGUGUUUAGGGUGGAAAAAAAUCAAAAGUCAAGAUGAGAUGCACAUGGCAUGUCUCCUGCCUGGAAUUCCUGGGAAUGUUUGUUGGUGGCAUGCCUGGUCAUGUAGUGCUGGUUGGACACAGGGCCAGGACUGUGCUGUUCACCCAGCAGCCUGAUCCCAUCCUUCCUUUGGCUGAAGGAGAUGCAGGUGAAGCCUGGGUGGGACAACUGAGAGGUCACUUAUGCCCACAGGUCACUUCCCCAGCAAGGUGUACCUUGUUCCAGGUGUGUUAGAGCCCUCCCCAGUGGCGUGGGACCUCAAGGGGGUUGAGAAAGCCCUUGGAGCAAAUAAGGUGAAUGGCACCAAGCUUUCUGGGGAAAUCCAUUUUGGUGAAUGUUGCCCACCCGUAAUUCAGAGCUACUCUUUGCAGCAAGGCAGUGCAGGCAGGCAGAGCAGUGCUCAUGUCAGGAUGGUUCAGGUCCCUGUGCUACAGCUGAAGCCUGUAACAUGGAGAAAGAGAGCCUCAGCUGCAGGGCUGAGCAGGCAGGGGCAGAUCCUGCCACAGUUUCGACUCACAACUACACAGACUCCGUACUUAUCAAGUUGCAGAACUUCAGCUUUUUGCAUUUCAGCUUUGCAAAUUUUAGUCAGUGGUUUUGCCACUUUUCAUCUAUUAAACUUCUUGGGUUUAUCCAUGCUCCAUCCAAAGUUCCACCCAUUAAACUCUAAUGUUUCUGCCUUUCCUCACUUGUAAGUGGAGGAGGUCACCUUCAGAGAGGCUGGUUCAGAGAACAGUGGUAGUAGCCAUGGAGUGUCCUAUCCAGUGAAGUCUCAAAUGAAAGAUAGGAUGGCUCUGAAAAGCAUGAUAAGGUAUUUGAAAAUUAAGAUAAUACCAGUGCAGGUCCAUACCUGCUGCUAGUGUGAGAUUCAGAAGUGCUGCCACUGAACAGCAUUUCCAUGGCAGGAACCUGCAGCAGCUGCCAUGGAUGCAGAUCCAUCCUUCAGCUGAUCCUACAGCACGGGUUCUGGACUCCUCCAGUUCUUGGACUCUUUCACCUCUGCAUCACCAGGAUUUCUUCAGCAUGGUCAUUAACAGCUCACACAUACCUGCCACACCUUCCAGCACACGCCUCUGCAUUCCUCACCCUGCUCCAAGACAUGCUUUGUUCAUGGACUCAGCUCUUGGAGCUCCCACUCACCGUGUGAUUCACAUGGGAUCAGGUUAUAUGACAUGCUGGCAAGUUGUGGUCAUGAUGGGUUCAGCCCUAGCCCUGUCCUUGAGAGAGCAGAUCCUGUCACCUAACCAGUACUUUUGGGAGGUAUUUUACAAUUUGUAUAAAGAAAAAAUGUACUGGAAAUACCUUAUCUGUAGUGACAAUCUCUGGACCUCAGUACACAUAGAAAUCCAGCAAUAUCCCUUGUUAGACAUAGCAUAAAUAUAUAUAACCUGUGACCAGAGUUCACAAGCUUUCUUCCAGGCUGUGCUCAGCUUAUAAAGCUUCUCCUGCCAUUUAUCACAUUUGCCAAGUCUCCAGUCCCUGAGUGCUGCCAGUAUUUACAGCUCUCAGAGCUGUUGGGACAGACAGCUCUGUGUGCAGGGAUGCAGUGCCUGGGAGCUCUGAUGGAACAAGCUGAGGGCCUCAGCUGACCCUGGAGGGUGCCUGGACUCUGCAGCUGGCACAGGCCAGAUGGAAAAUUAUCCCAUCUCCCCCUUUCUCAUUGUUGUUCUUACAUGGCACAGCAAAUCAAAGCCUCAGACCAGCACAACUCCUAUUGUUGCUUGUGCUGCAGUCUAGGGAAAAAAAAAAAAGGAACCCCAGCUCCUCAUUUCCACACUAGUGGGAACCAGUAGUAGUUGGCAGACCAGUGGUUGGUUUCUAGACUUGGCCAAGGGAAAGAUCUGAGUCCUUGCUUAAUAUUAAAAAACUCGGCUUAGGCUGAUUUCAUUUUCCAUUUUUUUAUUCUACUCUCAAAUUUUAUGUCUUUAUUUUCAGUUUAAUCCUUUAUUUUUAAGGUUUACAUAGCAUCAUCUGCUUCUCAAAUAGCUCUGUCCUUUAGCUAGACUUACGAGCUGCACUUUAAAAGUGGACAUUCUGUGACCAUCACAAAAAUCCCUCCUGGUAUUUUUGCUAGCAUCAGUCCCCAGAACAUGGGCCUUAAUGAAGGGAACAUAUUCCUUACUGAUGUGCCAGACAAAAGUUCAUGGCUUUGUCUUGCUGAAAAUGAAGUCUUGAUUAUUCAUGCAGUUCCCAAUUAGUCAUUCCACACCCUUGAAUUAUUUCUGACAGAUGUGAAAUGCCUUCUGCUGAAUUCCAGCUCCAAGGAACCUUCUGCAUGACUGGUUUAUCAGUGAAUGUGAGCAGACUCAUGAUUUACAGUGCUUCAUCAUCAUGGCAUGUGUAACACUGAACACGAUGGCUAGGGAAACCAGACCCACCUAUUUUUGGUCAUGGGUUCAGAUCCUCCAAAAUCUGCCAGCAGCUGCACAAGAGGUGCUCACACAGGGCCAGUGUGUGCACAGGGAAACCCAGUGAGGAUCUCACUGAAUGGAUCAUCUGAAUGUAUCAUCUGAGGGCAUAUGAAUUCACUCUCAGGGGUGAUAUGGAGACAAGUGCUAACCUGAAGGGCCAUUUCUGUCACUUUUCACUUUCUUGCUUUCUCUUUGCUGCCAGGAGUGCUUUUCCCACUGGCUACGUACUCAGCUGAGGUGCAAGUCACGUGUGGUUCCUGUCCCACCAGAGCUGCCCAGCAGAGAGGGAAUGUCCAGCUGGUGCCCUUAGCCCACUGCUGGAAGUGCUCUCUGCUGUGUUUCCCUGCGAGGGUGUUAGUGCACAUCUCUCUGUGCAUCGUCAGAGGCACACAGGAACUCAUCCACAGCCUGCAGAACACAGGUGAAGCUGUUUCCCAAAGGUCUACAGCUUCUCUUAAAAUCAGGAGUCCCUAGGCUGGCCAGAGUACAUUUAUUUUCUCCUACGAAGAAAAGGUCUUUCAGGGAACCUUCUCUGAACAAGAACCUCCUCCAAAGCAGGAGGGCAGCUGCAGAGAGGGGGUACAGACAGCUCAGAGCUGCUGCUCUCAGCUGCACCCACUGUGCACCAUGGACAGGAGCACAGCUCACCUGUUGCCUCUGGGACAGGGCUCAGUCUGGUCAGGCAGAAUCACUGCCCUGCAUGUGCCAGGCGUGUAUCUCACAGGAAACAGCGAGGUUCCUCACCAAAGGGAGCUCUGAGCUACCCUCGGAAAGCCCCAGCAGCCUCCCUGUUAGCACACCUGCAGGGAGAGGGCUGACUUGCUCUCACUGCUGCAUUUCAGCAGCAUUCCUGAGCAGGUGGCCAGGCCUGGCUCCAUGUGAGGUUAAAGACAUUACCUCUACAAUGGCAGAUUUUAGGCUGGGAUUUCACAUUUUUCUCCUGCAGAAGUCUCUGUCACUGCAAAGCAAAAUAAUAGCACCCAAAGCCAUGUUAAGUCAUUGUAGUGAUUCCAAAAUCCAUGAUUCCUCUGGCUAAUUAAAAAAGCUCCAAGCUUGCUCCAGGUCUUACAACUGUGAAUUUUGUAUUUGCAGUGGUGAAACUCCCCUCUUCUUUUUAUCCACCGAUGGUCAUGAUGAUAUGUUUUUGUUCAAUAAUUAAUCAUUUUGGUGUCAUGUUUGACUUGGUUUGGGGAUUUAAAUUGCAUGCCUUACUGAAGGGAAUCUGUAAUUGAGAUACAAGUCUGAGCACCUGUGAAAGACUUCAAGUUUUGUGCACAUAAGUAUAGAGUUUUAAAGUAUAAAUGUCUGAGUAUAAAUUUUUAAAUGUUUUACUACUCUAAAGGCAUCUACACAGGAUGUCAGUGGAAAUUGAUCUGUCAUCACUCUGUCUUGUGAGCAGACCCACUGGAUUCUGACAGCUGAACAGAAGCCAUUAAUUAAAACUGACAGGUUUGUCAGACCCUUGACAUGCUCCCUAGAUAAUUCAAUCUUAUGCAUUUCAAGCAUUUGCAGCAGGAACAAGACUAAAUCUUUCAAUUUCCCUGCUCCUUUCUAUGCCUCUCUUUCUAAGAAAGAGGAUUUAUUCCUGCAGAAAUAACCCUUUGCAUUCUGAAGUGGGGGUGUCGGUGUAACUUGGUUCUGCACUGAGAAGUGCCAGGGUUUGUGAUGACUCCUCAGAGGGAAGCUGUGCAAAGGUUCUGGCAGUGACUCCCCAACCUCAGGAAGGUUACAGGGCAUAAUGCCACAAGUUUUGCAGAAAUAAAGAGCUUUUUCAUACUGUUCUAAGAAGGUUCUUUGCUAGAACAAGCAAACAAGAAUUGGACCUGACUUCAGGUCCCCCUGCUCCCACAGCUGUCCUCACUGGAGUUGGUAACUGCUCCUGGGGAGAUAAGGCUCUCAGCCAGUCAUCCCUAAAGGAGAAGUGUUAGUUUACAUGUAACUAUGACCUAAUUUAAAAUUUUUGCUAUAUAUACAAAUUUACUCUUUAUAGCACAUCCAUGGACCUUUUGGAAUGCAUAUGAUGGAGAACCAGUGGUCAACCCUUAGACUCAUGUUUAGAAAACACCACCUUUGUUUGUUUUACAUGUUUAUAAUUGUCUCUGGCUAUAUUAUUGUUUGUGAAUUUCCACAGUAGCUUUCAAAGUAAUGUUGAUUUGUCUGGAUAGUAACAUUGCUAAAAAGCACUUAAAAUGUCAAAUACAA